GCCAAACAAACAAAACUAUAAUUUAUGAAUAAUAAUUAAAAUGGCUUUGUUUGUGUUGUGUAUUGUAAUCUCGCAAUUACAAUUUUUCCUAAAAUAUGACAUGUGCAUGUAGGCAAGAGACCGCUAGGUGCUAUGGCUAACGCAGAGAGGUUGAGCCGGUUGUGAAGACUGCCAAGCAGUUGGAGAAGGAAGCGAAGAAGUUGGCAAAGUUAGAGAAGUCAAGGGAAAGCAGGACAAGAAAAGUGUCCAAACGACUCAGACAACCAAGGAGAAGCCGAGUUAUAUUAUUCAUGUUAUGAUUAAUCGCGCCUAG
Long non-coding RNA from Neocloeon triangulifer, 313 nucleotides. RefSeq lists it as uncharacterized. The record is from RefSeq and is a predicted model, not a curated record. NCBI's taxonomy places the organism in Eukaryota, Metazoa, Arthropoda, Insecta, Ephemeroptera, Baetidae. The transcript is spliced from 2 exons.